CCAAUGUUCCCAAAAAUCAGAGACAGAGGGGUCAAUAAAUAAUUAACUUGGUUGCCAAGGGAACAGCUUCCUGGGUGGACUGAAGACAGCCGCUGAGACAACCUUCACGUGUCUUGGCCAAUGAAGGCUGGAAGUAGACAGUGACCAGAUACACAUAAUUCCAUGUACAUCUUAGGACAAGGACUGAAUAGGUGGUUUUAGGGCCAAGGAAGCAAAUCAAU
RNAcentral lists this long non-coding RNA (221 nucleotides) under Pan troglodytes (chimpanzee). Its description in RNAcentral is "long non-coding RNA NONPTRT003793". Lineage: Eukaryota; Metazoa; Chordata; Mammalia; Primates; Hominidae. The record is from RNAcentral.